AUUGAACGCUGGCGGCAUGCCUAACACAUGCAAGUCGAACGGCAACGCGGAGAGCUUGCUCUCUGGCGACGAGUGGCGGACGGGUGAGUAAUGCUUGGGAAUCUGCCCAGUAGUGGGGGACAACACGGGGAAACUCGUGCUAAUACCGCAUACGCCCUACGGGGGAAAGCGGGGGAUCUUCGGACCUCGCGCUAUUGGAUGAGCCCAAGUCGGAUUAGCUUGUUGGUGAGGUAAAAGCUCAUCAAGGCGACGAUCCGUAGCUGGUCUGAGAGGACGAUCAGCACACUGGGACUGAGACACGGCCCAGACUCCUACGGGAGGCAGCAGUGGGGAAUAUUGGACAAUGGGGGAAACCCUGAUCCAGCAAUGCCGCGUGUGUGAAGAAGGCCUGCGGGUUGUAAAGCACUUUCAGUAGGGAAGAAAAGCUAAGGGCUAAUAUCUUUUAGUCUUGACGUUACCUACAGAAGAAGCACCGGCUAACUCCGUGCCAGCAGCCGCGGUAAUACGGAGGGUGCGAGCGUUAAUCGGAAUUACUGGGCGUAAAGCGCGCGUAGGCGGUUGUGUAAGUCGGAUGUGAAAGCCCAGGGCUUAACCUUGGAAUUGCAUUCGAAACUGCAUGGCUAGAG
Molecule: ribosomal RNA, 626 nt
Filed under: uncultured bacterium
Lineage: Bacteria
Description: bacterial SSU rRNA
Rfam family: Bacterial small subunit ribosomal RNA
Source: RNAcentral